Molecule: long non-coding RNA, 2900 nt
Organism: Zonotrichia leucophrys gambelii
Lineage: Eukaryota; Metazoa; Chordata; Aves; Passeriformes; Passerellidae
Exons: 3
Source: RefSeq, a predicted model, not a curated record
GCGGGCCAGCCCCAGCGCCCAGCGGCGCUGCCCGGUGCCGGCGCGGAGCCCGGGGCCAGCCGGGCCCGGCGGGGCUGGGACAGCUGCGGAGACGCGCUGCCACUUGCUGCUCCUCUGCCCUGACCCGAGCGGAACUGCCUUCCCAGCAGUGCCCCCUCCAGCCCUGCCCCUCCUCCUUUGAUUGCUCUCGUUUGGGAUCUCAUGACACAUUUCCCCAUCUGCUCUUAUCGGGCUGUGCAGGCAGAGCCCUUGGCCCCCACAACAACCUGCAAGGCGUCGGCAAGUUCUUUGUUCGGCUUCAGGUGCGGGGCUCUUUCGGCAGGAGGCCUUGGAAAAAUCAGCUGGCUUAGAGCGACAAGUGUGAGGAGCAGUUGCAGACAGUUUAUACAUCCUCCUCGGGGAAAAUAAACCUGUUAGUGUGCGCCAUAUGCUACAAAGAAGUGGCUCUCGGCCACGCAGCUGAAACGCUGGAGCCCUUCCUUGACUCUUUGUCUGCUUGUCUAUUUGUCUUCAAAGCAGGAGCCCCUUGCAGCUGACACUUCUUAAGUCCUGUUUACCAAAUAGUUGUGGACUUUGCAAAUAACGCAGAUAAAAAUUUUGGGUGUUGUUGGGAAUAAACAACAUCAUGUCUAGAUUAAUGGCAGGAUAAUGGACUUUGGAAAACUAUCUUGCCUGCCUGCCUAACUUUCAGAAAGUUGUUUUUCUCCAUUGGUGCAGUUUGCCUUUAAAAUCUCUCUAGUCUGUGCUUUGUUCUCACCCUUCUGACCAACUUCAGUCUGGCCCCUGUAUUGCUUGAUUAAAUUUCGUACUACUUCAUUCCCUACUGGAUAUGCUUUAGCUCUAAAAACAUGAUUCAGCACCAAAACCAAAGACUCCCAAUCUAAUUUUCCCUGAUGGUGUUUUCUAGUUUGCCUGGAUGGAUGAAAAUCCAUUGCUAGGAUUCUGGGCUCUCUGCAUCCUUUUUUAGUGACUGGUUACAGUUAUCCUCCUUGCUUAGAGGACCUGUAACAAAUUCCUGUAAGGAGCUUUUUAAAAUCCUCUCCCAUUGCUCAAUGUUUUGCAUCUGUGUGUAACCAGCAAUGUCGUGUACGGCUUAUUUUUCUGAAGUGUCAAGAAAUAUAAACUCCCAAAUGCAUUUCUGAGAUGCAAAGGCACAGGUCCCUGUGGUGCAGUCAGGAAUGGUGGUGUUAUCUCACCCGAUUUUAGUUUCCAGGUGCUGGGGUUAAUGCAGCUCUCACCUGAGGUGCUUUAUCCCCUCUGCCCAGCCCUGUGCAGCCUUGCUCAGAGGUUCCUCAUGGACCUGGUGCCCUGUGGGAGCCUGAAUUAUUGCUGGUGGUGGUUUUGUUUUGCAAGAGGACGAGUUCCUUGGCUGACUCAUGCCCCGGCAAUCAUCUCUCCUGGCUCGGUGUUCCCCGAAGUUCCGCAUAACAAAAGAAGAAGGAGCGAUCCCAUCUCAGCUCUCACUCUGCCUUUCAGUCUGGGGCGAGAUAAAGGAGCUCUGCUGGGAAGAGAUCUGAAGUUCACAAUCUGGAGUCUUUCUUCUGAGCUUUGAGCUGCAAUGAACCCACUCAGAGCUGCACCAGGAGCCAGCUCUGGCCGGCGCAGACAGUGAGGCUGCUGAAAUUCGAUUUCAGCACAGGAAGCGACACGACUGGGGCAAAUUCCUCAGCUUGAUAUUUAGGAGCAAAUGUAACAUCAUUGGUGGUUUGGCUGGGCUGCUCUUGUUCUGGGCUGGGCUCGGAGCAGUGGGAAGCACAGUGACAGAGGGGAUGUGCUAGGGCAGCCUCACUUCACCUGCCCAGGACAAUCUGGGGACGAGGGCUCAGCUUUGCCUUUCCCCCAGGCCAGUCCCUGCCUGUGUGGAUGUACAAACUCAGGGCUCUGUGCACAAGGAACUGCAGCAGAAAGCAGGAAAGGAACACAGUCCUUCCACCGAGCUCUGGCUAAAGAUUAACCUUGCUGACUAACUGAAUGCUGGGUAUGAAAAAUGUUAAAACUAAUACACUAAAAAAAAAAACAGGCUGUAUUUUUCCUCUCCACUGGCUGAUGGAGGGCAGUGUUGCCACCUGUUUGGGCCAGUAUUUUUAGAUAUUAAAUAAACCUGGUCUCUUUCUGUGGUACAGUACUGAGAAGUUAAUUCAGCUCUAUUAGAAAAGUCUAGAGCACAAAGUGAGUUAAUAACAGCUUUGAGUGUGUCCUUAAAGCUCUUUCACACCCACCCAGAACACAGAGAUAACAGUGUUUACUAUCACUUUGUAACUCUGGAUGACUAAAUCAAAAAGUAAUGAAAUGAGGCUGCCUGCUGUGUUCCUCUUUCCUCUUUCAUUUAUUCAUCUUUUUGUAAGAGAGCCCAGGGUCUGUGAUCCCCUCCUCUGGGAAAAGCAGGAGUAGGUUCCCCUCUGGGGGAAGCCUGGCUGCAUUUGGGGAGAUGUGGAGGCACGGAUGCUGCUCAGAUGUGGGGUUUCAGCUUUGCUCAGGACUCUGAAUUUAUCCUCCCCACUGAAUAAUCCUGUCCCCUCCAAACCCAGUGCAAUAUCCCUCUCUCUACCUGUACUGACAACAGACUGUAGAGCAAGGGAGGAAAAAGAGACAACAGCAGAGGAAGGAAACAGGGAUGCUGCUGGAAAUCAUUGGCCUUUGAAGACCUUUUUUAAAGUCUCUAUUAUUGCAAAGAUGAGCUUGCUAUAAACUCCCGAAUGGACAGGCAGAGCCUGAUGUGCAAGAGAAUGGGCCUGAGACAGUUUUCUAUUAUCUGGGAGAUUUCUGUCUUAAUAGAAGCUUUCAGAGCCAGCAUGAGAGUUGAGCUCUAAAAUUAUGCCCCCACAGGAACAUAGUGUGUUCUGAUGGAAAAAGCAAAUAAAUUGUUUUUUAUGAUAUUGGACACACAGAGUAUUAUUCUG